This is a long non-coding RNA of Haliotis rufescens (red abalone), 228 nucleotides long. RefSeq lists it as uncharacterized. The record is from RefSeq and is a predicted model, not a curated record. NCBI's taxonomy places the organism in Eukaryota, Metazoa, Mollusca, Gastropoda, Lepetellida, Haliotidae. The transcript has 6 exons.
UGUUACAAGGAAUGACUGACGAGGAAAUUUCACCUAUUACUACGUUCACGAAACCAUGGGGCAUUGUGACAUAUGUUCAAGGCCUAAAUCAGGCAGAUCGAAAAACACUUCUUUCACUUGACUUACCAACUAAUAAUGAUACUGUUCGUUCGGAUGAAGAGGAAUUACAAGAAAGCAAGAAAACCCUUAAAGUGCUUCGAGGCUUGGCUCCCGAGGACCGUACAAUAA